Long non-coding RNA from Rattus norvegicus (Norway rat), 1095 nucleotides. The record is from Ensembl. Lineage: Eukaryota; Metazoa; Chordata; Mammalia; Rodentia; Muridae.
GUCUACAAGCUCUCCGAAUCCCAGGAUCCUGCUGUUCUCUACCUUGGAACACUCUCCUCUUUCUGCACUGAUGAAUCACCAGGAUAAUGAGAAAAAGGAAAAUGCAGUGUCCCAUGAUGAAACCGAGGACAGUGGUCACAAAGAAGAUUCCCGGAUUGGGAUUUGACUAUCUGAGGAGGCUGAGUCUAUCUUGGUGAUGAAAGCAUUGACCUGGGAGGAUUCAGUGAAUUGUCAAGGAGUUCACUCAGCAGUCCUGAACUACCACCACGGUGAGACCAACCCUCAGGGUGAAGAGGGUGCCAGAGUGAGGUGACCUGGUUAGUGGAGACAUUGGGGCUAAGGACUGAAGCUCUGUACUGAGAAUUACUCACUGGCAGCUCAAAAAUAAAACUGUAUCUUAAUAGAGUGCUCCAGAAAAUCUUUGUCAUGUGGAACUACAGAUUGUGGCCUCAUUUGGAAAUAGCAUCUUAAUAGAUGUAAAUGGUUAGGUCAUAAUGGAUAAGGUGGAACAUCAUCCACUGAAUCACAGACUUACGAAGGGAGGACAUUUAGACACAGACAGAGAGAGGAACAGUGUGAAGACAAUUUCUGCACAAGGAAGACACCGUGUAAAGAUGGACGCAGAAACAAGACGACGUUUCUACAAGCCAAAACUACCCUAGAAUUGCUGGGCUGCUCCGGAAGCUGGAAGAGAAGAAGAAGAAGAGGAGCCGGGAAAUGCGACAGUCCUGCAGGAAGAGGAGCAGCCCUGUAUUCAGAUUGCUGAGUUCAGAGACUCUAGUAUCUCAGUGAAGGAAGAAUCCAUAACCCUGUACUGAAACAAGCUAUACUAUGGUCCAGGCUAGAGGCUUAGAGACCGCCAUAGUGGUACCCAGAUAGGACCAUGACACAUUGUGUCCUCCUUUUACAUAAGUUCUCCAAUAAUAAACACUUUGGUCCUACUCAAGAGGUCUCUGUCACUGAAACUUUGUGAGCAGCUAGAGAAAUGAUUUCACUGCACUGAUAGUACAGCCAGCAGGACUCACCUUUAUCCUCACUUCUCUCGGGUGAAACCCUGGUGAGUGGCUUGUGUUCAGAGAGAAAUGUUGGAUCCAG